This 391-nucleotide unclassified non-coding RNA is filed under the name soil metagenome. RNAcentral's name for it is "partial contains 5.8S ribosomal RNA, internal transcribed spacer 2, and large subunit ribosomal RNA". The stretch from base 1 to 122 matches the Rfam family "5.8S ribosomal RNA", at positions 35 to 154 of the family's 154-position model. The record is from RNAcentral.
GAUGAAGAACGUAGCGAAAUGCGAUACUUGGUGUGAAUUGCAGAAUCCCAUGAACCAUCGAGUCUUUGAACGCAAGUUGCGCCCGAAGCCAUUAGGCCGAGGGCACGCCUGCCUGGGUGUCACACGUCGUUGCCCCCCCAUCUACUCCUUCGGGAUUGCGGGGGGCGGAUGAUGGCCUCCCGUGCGCCUCGUCGCGCGGUUGGCAUAAAUGCCAAGUCCUCGGCGACGCACGCCACGACAAUCGGUGGUUGCGAAACCUCGGUUGCCCGUCGUGUGCGGUCGUCGCGCAUCGAGGGCUCGAAAAAAUUGCCGGGCUCCGGCUCGGCUUUCAACGCGACCCCAGGUCAGGCGGGGUUACCCGCUGAAUUUAAGCAUAUCAAUAAGCGGAGGA